RNAcentral lists this ribosomal RNA (364 nucleotides) under Bacteroidales bacterium. Its description in RNAcentral is "bacterial SSU rRNA". It matches the Rfam family "Bacterial small subunit ribosomal RNA", at positions 1 to 360 of the family's 1533-position model. The record is from RNAcentral. Lineage: Bacteria; Pseudomonadati; Bacteroidota; Bacteroidia; Bacteroidales.
ACAAUGAAGAGUUUGAUCCUGGCUCAGGAUGAACGCUAGCGGCAGGCCUAACACAUGCAAGUCGAGGGGUAACGAUUCCAAGCAAUUGGAAGGCGACGACCGGCGGACGGGUGAGUAACGCGUUUGUAACCUACCUCUAACUGGAAGAUAGCCCGAAGAAAUUCGGAUUAAUACUCCAUAAUACUAUGAACUGGCAUCUUUUUAUAGUCAAAGCUUUGGCGGUUAGAGAUGGGCAUGCGUGACAUUAGCUUGUUGGUGAGGUAACGGCUCACCAAGGCCACGAUGUCUAGGGGGUCUGAGAGGAUGGUCCCCCACACUGGUACUGAGACACGGACCAGACUCCUACGGGAGGCAGCAGUGAGGA